GACGAACGCUGGCGGCGUGCUUAACACAUGCAAGUCGAACGGAAAGGCCCUGCUUGCAGGGUGCUCGAGUGGCGAACGGGUGAGUAACACGUGGGUGAUCUGCCCCUUACUUUGGGAUAAGCCUCGGAAACUGGGUCUAAUACUGGAUAGGACCAUGCUGUAGGUGGUGUGGUGGAAAGAUUAGUUUCGGUAAGGGAUGAGCUCGCGGCCUAUCAGCUUGUUGGUGGGGUAAUGGCCUACCAAGGCGUCGACGGGUAGCCGGCCUGAGAGGGUGGACGGCCACAUUGGGACUGAGAUACGGCCCAGACUCCUACGGGAGGCAGCAGUGGGGAAUAUUGCACAAUGGGCGCAAGCCUGAUGCAGCGACGCCGCGUGGGGGAUGACGGCCUUCGGGUUGUAAACUCCUUUCAGCCAUGACGAAGCCCUUGUGGUGACGGUAGUGGUAGAAGAAGCACCGGCUAACUACGUG
This 469-nucleotide ribosomal RNA is filed under the name uncultured bacterium. Its description in RNAcentral is "partial 16S ribosomal RNA". It matches the Rfam family "Bacterial small subunit ribosomal RNA", at positions 28 to 507 of the family's 1533-position model. The record is from RNAcentral.